GAAAUUUAAGAAGUGUUGUAGAUAUAAAAUUCUUCCUCUGAUAGGGUCUUAGCUUCUUGGUUAAGGCGAAGGUUUUGGGUUGUUGAGUAUUUAGGUUCUAUAAUAUUAUUUUCAAUUUGAUGUGGUCCAUGUCACGACUGCGAAUCUUGAUAUUGCAACAUUGCCAAGUCAGAGAGUCUCGCCGCUACGAGCAUAGGCUUUCCGUUAUGAUGUGACAUACUGAGAUGCUCAUGUUGCGGUGAGAAAAAGCUGAAGUAGCGAAGUCGCGACAAACUUUUCAAAUCUUUGCAGUUUGGUUCUAAUUCUUGCUCGGACUGACAAAAAAACUUUCGUAAGCUCGAUUAAAGCUCAUAAUUCAUGUAUUAUUGUAAUUGCAUCAUGAUUGAUGUUUAAAUAAAAAUUAUCUUAUCGUAAUUCUAA
Molecule: long non-coding RNA, 420 nt
Organism: Gossypium arboreum
Lineage: Eukaryota; Viridiplantae; Streptophyta; Magnoliopsida; Malvales; Malvaceae
Exons: 2
Source: RefSeq, a predicted model, not a curated record